Molecule: unclassified non-coding RNA, 253 nt
Filed under: uncultured Gammaproteobacteria bacterium
Lineage: Bacteria; Pseudomonadati; Pseudomonadota; Gammaproteobacteria
Description: contains 16S-23S intergenic spacer region
Rfam family: Bacterial small subunit ribosomal RNA
Source: RNAcentral
UACAGAGGGUGCAAGCGUUACUCGGAAUUACUGGGCGUAAAGCGCGCGUAGGUGGUUUGUUAAGUUGGAUGUGAAAGCCCCGGGCUCAACCUGGGAACUGCAUCCAAAACUGGCAAGCUAGAGUACGGCAGAGGGGGGUGGAAUUCCACAUGUAGCAGUGAAAUGCGUAGAGAUGUGGAGGAACACCGAUGGCGAAGGCAGCCCCCUGGACAAAGACUGACGCUCAGGUGCGAAAGCGUGGGGAGCAAACAGG